Molecule: ribosomal RNA, 313 nt
Filed under: uncultured bacterium
Lineage: Bacteria
Description: bacterial SSU rRNA
Rfam family: Bacterial small subunit ribosomal RNA
Source: RNAcentral
GAUGAACGCUAGCGGCAGGCUUAACACAUGCAAGUCGAGGGGUAGAGGAAGCUUGCUUCCUUGAGACCGGCGCACGGGUGCGUAACGCGUAUACAAUCUACCUUUUACAGAGGGAUAGCCCCAGAGAAAAUUUGGAUUAAUACCUCAUAGUAUUUUCGGAUCGCAUGAUUUGAUUAUUAAAGUUCCAACGGUAAAGAUGAGUAUGCGUCCAUUAGCUAGAUGGUAAGGUAACGGCUUACCAUGGCAAUGAUGGGUAGGGGUCCUGAGAGGGAGAUCCCCCACACUGGUACUGAGACACGGACCAGACUCCUAC